GGGAUAUAGCUCAGUUGGUAGAGUGCUUGCCUUGCAUGCACAAACCCUGGGUUCAAUCCCCAGCACACA
RNAcentral lists this transfer RNA (69 nucleotides) under Marmota monax (woodchuck). RNAcentral's name for it is "tRNA.Ala". The stretch from base 7 to 63 matches the Rfam family "tRNA", at positions 8 to 63 of the family's 71-position model. Rfam says of the family: Transfer RNA (tRNA) molecules are approximately 80 nucleotides in length. Their secondary structure includes four short double-helical elements and three loops (D, anti-codon, and T loops). Lineage: Eukaryota; Metazoa; Chordata; Mammalia; Rodentia; Sciuridae. The record is from RNAcentral.